Molecule: ribosomal RNA, 433 nt
Filed under: uncultured bacterium
Lineage: Bacteria
Description: partial 16S ribosomal RNA
Rfam family: Bacterial small subunit ribosomal RNA
Source: RNAcentral
AACGAACGCUGGCGGCAUGCCUAACACAUGCAAGUCGAACGAGACCUUCGGGUCUAGUGGCGCACGGGUGCGUAACGCGUGGGAACCUGCCCUUAGGUUCGGAAUAACUCCCCGAAAGGGGUGCUAAUACCGGAUAAUGUCUUCGGACCAAAGAUUUAUCGCCUUUGGAUGGGCCCGCGUUGGAUUAGCUAGUUGGUAGGGUAAAAGCCUACCAAGGCGACGAUCCAUAGCUGGUCUGAGAGGAUGAUCAGCCACACUGGGACUGAGACACGGCCCAGACUCCUACGGGAGGCAGCAGUGGGGAAUAUUGGACAAUGCGCGAAAGCCUGAUCCAGCAAUGCCGCGUGAGUGAUGAAGGCCUUAGGGUUGUAAAGCUCUUUUACCCGGGAUGAUAAUGACAGUACCGGGAGAAUAAGCUCCGGCUAACUCCGUG